This 76-nucleotide transfer RNA is filed under the name subsurface metagenome. RNAcentral's name for it is "tRNA-Met". It matches the Rfam family "tRNA". Rfam says of the family: Transfer RNA (tRNA) molecules are approximately 80 nucleotides in length. Their secondary structure includes four short double-helical elements and three loops (D, anti-codon, and T loops). The record is from RNAcentral.
CGCGGGGUGGAGCAGAGGUCAGCUCGCCGGUGUCAUUAGCCGGAGGUCGGUGGUUCGAAUCCAUCCCCCGCUACCA